GAGAAUAAUUUUAGAUUAAUCUAGGAUUAAUGUGCUACGAGAUGGUAUAUAGAAUCCAUAAAUAUGGGAUCGUAUGACAUGAAAAUAAAUUAGUACAAGGAAAUAAAUUUAACUUAAGUAAAUAAAUAAUUAGAAUUUUAAAGAAAAAUCUAGAAGUUGUUGGAUAAAAUUUAAAAGUCAAAGACUUAUCUUCUCUCCCUCAUGAUUUUCGUCCAUGAGCAGCUCCCCUCAACCUCCAUAGCCAAAAACCUUCUUUCCCAUUUAUUUGGCUUGUUCGUCGGUAAAUUGAGGAUUUAAUCGUAUAAAACAUAGCAAAUCAAUAUAAGGCAUAGAAGCUUGUAACACGAGUCGUGCAAAAAUGAAUGGAUCUAGAAGAUAGCGAAGGGUCGAAAGGUGAAAUAGGCUUAUAUUCAUAAGCCUGCGAGGUUAGAGUUGAUAUUAUGUCAGUGGUGUUGCGCAGCUUUGCAUCUUUUGCGAGUCACUGGUGGUCAACUUGGUUUAGUAGUCGUGGCAUGUUGUAUAAUAGUUUAAUCUUUAAUCUUCCGUAGGAUAAAUGUUAAGUUUUUUAAAUGUAAUAGAUUUUAAUUGUGCUUUUAAGCUAAAAAGAAAAAGAAAAAUUUAAGCA
Molecule: long non-coding RNA, 625 nt
Organism: Salvia splendens (bonfire salvia)
Lineage: Eukaryota; Viridiplantae; Streptophyta; Magnoliopsida; Lamiales; Lamiaceae
Exons: 3
Source: RefSeq, a predicted model, not a curated record